AGAGUUUGAUCAUGGCUCAGAAUCAACGCUGGCGGCGUGCCUCAGACAUGCAAGUCGAACGCGAAAGGCCCCUUCGGGGGCCGAGUAGAGUGGCGCACGGGUGAGUAACACGUAGGUAAUCUACCUCUGGGUGGGGAAUAACAGCCGGAAACGGCUGCUGAUACCGCAUAAUGCAGCGGCACCACAUGGUGACAGUUGUUAAAGCGGGGGAUCGUAAGACCUCGCGCCUAGAGAUGAGCCUGCGGCAGAUUAGCUAGUUGGUAGGGUAACGGCCUACCAAGGCUUCGAUCUGUAGCCGGCCUGAGAGGGCGGACGGCCACACUGGCACUGACACACGGGCCAGACUCCUACGGGAGGCAGCAGUCGGGAAUUUUGGGCAAUGGGCGAAAGCCUGACCCAGCAACGCCGCGUGAAGGAUGAAGCUUUUCGGAGUGUAAACUUCAUAAGAAUGGGACGAAUAAAAAAGGGCUAAUACCCCUUUUGAUGACGGUACCAUUUGUAAGCUCCGGCUAACUCCGUGCCAGCAGCCGCGGUAAUACGGGGGGAGCAAGCGUUGUUCGGAUUUACUGGGCGUAAAGGGCGCGUAGGCGGCGCGACAAGUCACUUGUGAAAUCUCCCGGCUCAACCGGGAGCGGCCAAGUGAUACUGUCGCGCUGGAGUGCAGAAGGGGCGACCGGAAUUCUCGGUGUAGCGGUGAAAUGCGUAGAUAUCGAGAGGAACACCUGCGGCGAAGGCGGGUCGCUGGGCUGACACUGACGCUGAGGCGCGAAAGCUAGGGGAGCGAACGGGAUUAGAUACCCCAGUAGUCC
Molecule: ribosomal RNA, 809 nt
Filed under: uncultured bacterium
Lineage: Bacteria
Description: bacterial SSU rRNA
Rfam family: Bacterial small subunit ribosomal RNA
Source: RNAcentral